Canis lupus familiaris (dog) is the source of this 83-nucleotide non-coding RNA. NCBI's taxonomy places the organism in Eukaryota, Metazoa, Chordata, Mammalia, Carnivora, Canidae. The record is from Rfam.
GCCUGGGUGGCUCAGUGGUUGAGCAUCUGCCUUCAGCUCAGGUCAUGAUCCUCGGGUCCUGGGAUCAAGUCCCACAUCGGGCU